RNAcentral lists this long non-coding RNA (866 nucleotides) under Homo sapiens (human). RNAcentral's name for it is "non-protein coding lnc-FRY-1:3". The record is from RNAcentral. Lineage: Eukaryota; Metazoa; Chordata; Mammalia; Primates; Hominidae.
CUCCAGGCUGCUUACAUCAAUAGCUUACACGUGCUUCCUGAUGCCUGCCUUAACAACAAAAAAUUCGUGUCCAUAGGUGAGUAUUAGGGUAUGUUCAUUGUAUCUCAAUGAAACUAGUUUUUAAAGUUUUCAAUGCAUUUGUUUGAGAUCAAUUAAUAUUUGGAUACCUAUCAUGACCCAGGAUAUUUCUUUGUUCAGCAAAUAUUUAUUGCAUGCCCACUCUGGGCUAGGCACUGUUUUAGAGGACACCGCAGCUAUCAAGGCAGAUGUGGUCCCUGUUCCCAUGAGGCUCCUACAUUUGAGUGGAGGAAGAUGUACUUGUCUACGUUGGGUGAUGAUUAGUGCCAUGAAGAACAAAACGGAUACAGUGAGUAAUGUGGACAGGGCUAUCUUAGCUAUCACUCUAAUAAGGUGAUAUCUGAGGAGAGAUCUGAAUGAAGUGAGGAUACAAUGGAUAUCCAAGGAAAAGAGCAUUCCAGCAAAGGAAAAAACACAUGCAGAGACCCUGAAGGAGAAGCAGGGUCACUUUGUCAAAGGGACAGCAAGGAAGCCAAUGACCGGGUGAAAUGAGUGAAGAGAGCGUUCAGAGAGGACAGCCAAAAGCUCUGUGGGCCACGGCAGGACUUUGUCCCUUGCUGAGCAAGAUGGGAAGCCACUGAAUGUUUGCGGGCAGGGUAGUGACAUGCUGUGACUUAUGUUUAAAAGGAUUACUCCUUCAUAGCGAUGAAGAAAAGCUCUAUAACAAAAGUUCCGUUGUGGUGGUUAUACAGCAUUGUGAAUGUACUUAAUGCCAAUGAAUUGUGUACUUUAAAAUGGUAAAUUUUAUGUUAUAUAUGUUUUACCACAAUAAAAAUAAUUUUUUUAAA